This 468-nucleotide ribosomal RNA is filed under the name uncultured bacterium. RNAcentral describes it as "partial 16S ribosomal RNA". It matches the Rfam family "Bacterial small subunit ribosomal RNA", at positions 28 to 507 of the family's 1533-position model. The record is from RNAcentral.
GACGAGCGCUGGCGGUGUGCUUAACACAUGCAAGUCGAACGGUAAGGCCCUUUCGGGGGUACACGAGUGGCGAACGGGUGAGUAACACGUGAGUAACCUGCCCUCAUCUCUGGGAUAACAGUCGGAAACGGUUGCUAAUACUGGAUAUGAGCUUGCAAGGCAUCUUGUGGGUUGGAAAGAUUUUUUUUGGUUGGGGAUGGACUCGCGGCCUAUCAGCUUGUUGGUGAGGUAGUGGCUCACCAAGGCUUCGACGGGUAGCCGGCCUGAGAGGGCGACCGGCCACAUUGGGACUGAGAUACGGCCCAAACUCCUACGGGAGGCAGCAGUGGGGAAUAUUGCACAAUGGACGGAAGUCUGAUGCAGCAACGCCGCGUGCGGGAUGACGGCCUUCGGGUUGUAAACCGCUUUCAAUUGUGACGAAGCGUUUUUGUGACGGUAGCAGUAGAAGAAGCACCGGCUAACUACGUG